RNAcentral lists this transfer RNA (73 nucleotides) under Neotoma lepida (desert woodrat). It matches the Rfam family "tRNA". Rfam says of the family: Transfer RNA (tRNA) molecules are approximately 80 nucleotides in length. Their secondary structure includes four short double-helical elements and three loops (D, anti-codon, and T loops). Lineage: Eukaryota; Metazoa; Chordata; Mammalia; Rodentia; Cricetidae. The record is from Rfam by way of RNAcentral.
GCCCAGCUAGCUCAGUCGGUAGAGCAUGGAACGCUUAAUCCCAGGGUUGUGGGUUCGAGCCCCAUGUUGGACG